GACGAACGCUGGCGGCGUGCUUAACACAUGCAAGUCGAACGGAAAGGCCCUGCUUGCAGGGUACUCGAGUGGCGAACGGGUGAGUAACACGUGGGUGAUCUGCCCUGCACUUCGGGAUAAGCCUGGGAAACUGGGUCUAAUACCGGAUAGGAGCCAUUUUUAGUGUGAUGGUUGGAAAGUUUUUUCGGUGUAGGGUGAGCUCGCGGCCUAUCAGCUUGUUGGUGGGGUAAUGGCCUACCAAGGCGGCGACGGGUAGCCGGCCUGAGAGGGUGGACGGCCACAUUGGGGCUGAGAUACGGCCCAGACUCCUACGGGAGGCAGCAGUGGGGAAUAUUGCACAAUGGGCGCAAGCCUGAUGCAGCGACGCCGCGUGGGGGAUGACGGCCUUCGGGUUGUAAACUCCUUUCGCUAGGGACGAAGCUUUUUGUGACGGUACCUAGAUAAGAAGCACCGGCUAACUACGUG
RNAcentral lists this ribosomal RNA (465 nucleotides) under uncultured bacterium. RNAcentral's name for it is "partial 16S ribosomal RNA". It matches the Rfam family "Bacterial small subunit ribosomal RNA", at positions 28 to 507 of the family's 1533-position model. The record is from RNAcentral.